This 1437-nucleotide ribosomal RNA is filed under the name Staphylococcus sp. RNAcentral's name for it is "bacterial SSU rRNA". It matches the Rfam family "Bacterial small subunit ribosomal RNA". The record is from RNAcentral. Lineage: Bacteria; Bacillati; Bacillota; Bacilli; Caryophanales; Staphylococcaceae.
GCAAGUCGAGCGAACAGAUAAGGAGCUUGCUCCUUUGACGUUAGCGGCGGACGGGUGAGUAACACGUGGGUAACCUACCUAUAAGACUGGGAUAACUUCGGGAAACCGGAGCUAAUACCGGAUAACAUUUGGAACCGCAUGGUUCUAAAGUGAAAGAUGGUUUUGCUAUCACUUAUAGAUGGACCCGCGCCGUAUUAGCUAGUUGGUAAGGUAACGGCUUACCAAGGCGACGAAUCGUAGCCAACCUGAGAGGGUGAUCGGCCACACUGGAACUGAGACACGGUCCAGACUCCUACGGGAGGCAGCAGUAGGGAAUCUUCCGCAAUGGGCGAAAGCCUGACGGAGCAACGCCCCGUGAGUGAUGAAGGGUUUCGGCUCGUAAAACUCUGUUAUUAGGGAAGAACAAACGUGUAAGUAACUGUGCACGUCUUGACGGUACCUAAUCAGAAAGCCACGGCUAACUACGUGCCAGCAGCCGCGGUAAUACGUAGGUGGCAAGCGUUAUCCGGAAUUAUUGGGCGUAAAGCGCGCGUAGGCGGUUUCUUAAGUCUGAUGUGAAAGCCCACGGCUCAACCGUGGAGGGUCAUUGGAAACUGGGAAACUUGAGUGCAGAAGAGGAAAGUGGAAUUCCAUGUGUAGCGGUGAAAUGCGCAGAGAUAUGGAGGAACACCAGUGGCGAAGGCGACUUUCUGGUCUGUAACUGACGCUGAUGUGCGAAAGCGUGGGGAUCAAACAGGAUUAGAUACCCUGGUAGUCCACGCCGUAAACGAUGAGUGCUAAGUGUUAGGGGGUUUCCGCCCCUUAGUGCUGCAGCUAACGCAUUAAGCACUCCGCCUGGGGAGUACGACCGCAAGGUUGAAACUCAAAGGAAUUGACGGGGACCCGCACAAGCGGUGGAGCAUGUGGUUUAAUUCGAAGCAACGCGAAGAACCUUACCAAAUCUUGACAUCCUUUGAAAACUCUAGAGAUAGAGCCUUCCCCUUCGGGGGACAAAGUGACAGGUGGUGCAUGGUUGUCGUCAGCUCGUGUCGUGAGAUGUUGGGUUAAGUCCCGCAACGAGCGCAACCCUUAAGCUUAGUUGCCAUCAUUAAGUUGGGCACUCUAGGUUGACUGCCGGUGACAAACCGGAGGAAGGUGGGGAUGACGUCAAAUCAUCAUGCCCCUUAUGAUUUGGGCUACACACGUGCUACAAUGGACAAUACAAAGGGCAGCUAAACCGCGAGGUCAUGCAAAUCCCAUAAAGUUGUUCUCAGUUCGGAUUGUAGUCUGCAACUCGACUACAUGAAGCUGGAAUCGCUAGUAAUCGUAGAUCAGCAUGCUACGGUGAAUACGUUCCCGGGUCUUGUACACACCGCCCGUCACACCACGAGAGUUUGUAACACCCGAAGCCGGUGGAGUAACCAUUUAUGGAGCUAGCCGUCGAAGGUGGGACAAAUG